Molecule: ribosomal RNA, 271 nt
Filed under: Geobacillus stearothermophilus
Lineage: Bacteria; Bacillati; Bacillota; Bacilli; Caryophanales; Anoxybacillaceae
Description: partial 16S ribosomal RNA
Rfam family: Bacterial small subunit ribosomal RNA
Source: RNAcentral
UAUUGGGCGUAAGCGCGCGCAGGUGGUUUCUUAAGUCUGAUGUGAAAGCCCACGCCUCAACCGUGGAGGGUCAUUGGAAACUGGGAGACUUGAGUGCAUAAGAGGAAAGUGGAAUUCCAUGUGUAGCGGUGAAAUGCGUAGAGAUAUGGAGGAACACCAGUGGCGAAGGCGACUUUCUGGUCUGUAACUGACACUGACGCGCGAAAGCGUGGGGAGCAAACAGGAUUACAUACCCUGGCAGCCCACGCCGUAAUGCGAUGAGUGCUAAGUG